UUGACGAUAUCAAGACCUGAUGACCCGCGCUUAGUUCUUGAUGUGGAUCGUGACCAGAAAACAGAGCUCAACGCCCUGAUGUGCUGCACUUUUCUGAUGAUCUGGCUUGAGAGAAACAGACGUGUUUUUGACACAAAGUUGCUUCGAUGUAAUCGGUUGUUACGACGAAAGUUAGGACCGAGCUCUCCCUAUGGAUGAUGGCCAGAGAGUGUGGAUCGGUGGAGGAUGAUAGGAGAGAGGUUCUGUAAGGACAUGUAGUCUGUAACGCUUUUUACCAUGGACUUUUU
RNAcentral lists this long non-coding RNA (287 nucleotides) under Hordeum vulgare. RNAcentral's name for it is "long non-coding RNA (HVUL_LNC003263)". The record is from RNAcentral. Lineage: Eukaryota; Viridiplantae; Streptophyta; Magnoliopsida; Poales; Poaceae.